GGGUCAAUGAUGAGAAUGCUUUAUUGUACUGAAGAGAGGUGAUGACUUAAAAAUCAUGCUCAAUAGGAUUACGCUGAGGCCC
Callithrix jacchus (white-tufted-ear marmoset) is the source of this 82-nucleotide small nucleolar RNA. Its record names the gene SNORD115. It matches the Rfam family "Small nucleolar RNA SNORD115". From Rfam's summary of the family: HBII-52 is a member of the C/D class of snoRNAs, which contain the C (UGAUGA) and D (CUGA) box motifs. HBII-52 is encoded in a tandemly repeated array with another C/D snoRNA, HBII-85, in the Prader-Willi syndrome (PWS) region of chromosome 15. HBII-52 is exclusively expressed in the brain but is absent in PWS patients. NCBI's taxonomy places the organism in Eukaryota, Metazoa, Chordata, Mammalia, Primates, Cebidae. The record is from Ensembl.